UGUGUGCUUUACUCCAGGCCAGGUUUGAUAAGGCUGCUGAGAGGUUGUGCUGACUCACUGUGAGCUAAGGUAAAACAGGCACUGACAUGGUACUGUAAACACACACCACUCAACAACAGGGACUUUCAAGUAAAAUGCACGUUUUGGAGGUUCCCCCCCACACCUUAAACCUCACCUAUCACCACAGCAAUCACAAAACCCUCCUGAGCACUGUGAGCUUUAACACAGCUGAGCACCCCAAAGGAUUUCAUGGAAGUUAUCUGGUGAAGAAGUGACAGAAGGCAACACCAGAUACUCCAGAGAUCACGUUUUAGUGUUUUUCUAACACAACAGGACAUCAAUGAGCACCAAAACUCUGACCAGUGUGCAACACCUCUGCAUAAGCAAGGGUCAUGCAUUACAUUAUUCACAGGGGUAAUCCUAUAGAAUUAAGCCACAAGUACUCUCUCAGAAGAUCAAAUUUUGAAGCAGAUGGCCAGGACAGGAUCUGUGUGCUGCUUGUUCCUGGAAACGAGAGGUGCCACAUGGUGCUCUGGGAUAGAAGUUUUGAACCGAGGAAGACACAAAACCAGGAAUGUCUUAGACAAGACUGGGGGGAAGGAUCUUAGUGUGCCAUCAUCUGUAAGUGGGCACCAGUGAGAAACCACCAGUAGCUGAGGAGAAGGCCAAGAAGCCAAGUUUUAGCUGACUCCCUUGUCACCUUGGAGCCUCCUGCACCAACAUCCCACACAAACCCGGCAGCCCUCUCCCAAACAUCAGGGAUCUGUAUUCCAGGCAGAGCUCAAAUGCACCAUUUGGCAUUACCAAGAGCUCCAAACCCUCCCAGGUGUUUUACAACAAACGAGGCUGCGCUUUCCUUGCAGCUACUGAGUGACUUGAUGAAAUUCGGCAGCAUGAUGUGCUUGCAUCCACCCAACAGCCUCCAAACACUCUUUAUGGCUGUCAGUGAUCCAGCCACCAAGAGAAAACAUCACCUCAAUACUCAGAUCCUCCUAAUUCCAAAGCACCAGAAGUCAGGAGGACUGGAAUCAUGACCCUCAACAGCAUCAUAACAUUUAGGGCCCUGACAUGAAUUUUACUAUCAAAUAAGUAACCAAGGGAGGUUUGCUGGGAGCAGACCCGGAUGGAAGCAGCAUCAGCCUCAAGUGCUUCCGCCCACAGACUCCCACCUAACGCUCGUCAGGCAGCUCCAGGCACUCCGAGUUUCCAAGAUGUCAUCUGGAACAUCAAAUACAGUUCUAAGCACGACCCUGUACAACAGCAGCAAUUCCUGUUGCUCACUAGCAAGUCAUCCCUGUUUUGGACAACAUUUUUGGAAUGUGCUGCCCACAGUACAUUGAAUUUCCUAAGUUACGCCUGGAAAUCAGGAUGUUUUGUCCCAGUAAGUGGACACUGUUUAAUAAGACCCCUUCUGCAACAAUGGGUUUGCACUCGCUGUGACAGAGCUCCAUUUAACCAGGGCUGUGGAAUUCUGGGGGAUAUCUGCACUGCCUCAACUCUGCUGGCCUCUGGAAAAAGCCAUUCCUCAACAAACAUAGCUUUGUAACUUUGGAGAGGCCUGGGUUUGGGCUUAUUUUAAUGGCACAGCUUUUAUCCAGUAAGGACCUGACCUUCACCAUGUAAAUGAGAAACCUGUAUUUGCUGCAAAUGCUCUGAUGUUCCACAUCCCCUGUUCUGCUCCGAGAAACCUUAUUUAAAGCCUCUAGUAAAAAGAAAAGGUAUUUUGGGGCUAGACUAACUUUUGUUGGAUCCAGUGAUGUCACCUCUUUCCAGAUAAAGCCCAGGUUUGAAGCUCACCACGCUCAUGAUCACAUGGCAGGUCAGGCACAACACCCAGUCACAUCCAGGACCCUGAUCCCUGCUGUGGGAUGGGGAAAGGAAACAAGAGUCCCAACUCCCUUUGUGCCAUCUCAGCUUCGCCCCAGUAUUUUAAAUACCUCACCAUUACAAAGUCCAAAAAGCAUGAACAUGGUGACACCACGCUGAUGUCACCAGAAUGCUCCAGAAGAAGGUGAGCAAAAAGGGGAAAUGAAUCCAACCUGGAAAUACUGGAAUUGCACAAGCUUGCACCAAGGCAAGGAGAACACUGGGCCAAGCCAGGCUACAGAGGCACAUCAUGUGCUCUACUCAGAGCAGAAAUAAAUAUGCCAUUCUAAACAUUUUCUGAGUUUAUUUUCAGAAAAAUCUAGAGCAAAGAUGGAAAUAGCAAUCUGAUUAAAAUAAAAAAAAAAAAAAAGAAGUUAAGAGUGGCAGCAAAUUAU
Chiroxiphia lanceolata (lance-tailed manakin) is the source of this 2261-nucleotide long non-coding RNA. RefSeq lists it as uncharacterized. The record is from RefSeq and is a predicted model, not a curated record. The transcript has 4 exons. Lineage: Eukaryota; Metazoa; Chordata; Aves; Passeriformes; Pipridae.